AAACAUGGGGAGUGGAGGAGGUGUAACCAUCCCUUUCGUUAGUGCUGUUUCCUUGUGAGGAAGUCACUAGUUUUAUCUUAAUGACACUUCCUCCUGUCUUUCCAACCCUGAUUCAUCAUCACUAUAUUUCUUUUCACUUUAUUUUUAAUAGCUGAAACUUUUCAUAAUUCAUUUCACUUUGAUGUAGUCAUGCCAAAUUAUUUUUCACAAACUCUUCCUCGGAUUUUCUUCAAUCUUUAUGGUAAUAGCUCAGAAAACCUAAAAGGAUUCUUCUCUGUGUGGAAUGAAGGUGUUAUUAAAUGAGGACAAAGACAGAGGUAAAUAUGAAAGAAACCAUAGCUCCUGGCUCUAUGUUCCUGCUGAGUUUGAAAGUCAGUGGAAUGUGGGAGUCCUUCCUCUUCUCAAAGUAAAUUUCCCCUCACCUGGCAAAGGAUGGACAAAACUGACAGCUCCACCACUGCCCUGAUACCUGAGACAUGUCCAGCCUGCAUACUGAUGUACCAGCCUGCCCUUGGUUUUUCCUCCACUCCCUGUCCUGUCCAGCAACUCCAGGUACCACAUAUUUACAAGAAUGAUCCACUUUGUGAUGUAACAGAGAAUUACCAUAGUAGGAAUGUUCAUUGAAUAUUUUAUUAUGGCUUGGCAACUUUGAUUGAAAAGGCUGAUAAACCUUGAAAACUGUGGGUGAGUAUACAAACUGACAAUUUUUGAUGUCUUAAAUUUUCUCAAAGUACUCAUUUUCUGUCAGCCACAUUGCCACAAAAAUCUAUUUUACUUACAAACACAGAAUUAAAAACCCCCUAUAUGUUAGGUGAUGAAGUCCAAAAUUAGUCUUAUUUUUCUAAAGGUGGCCAACCAGUACCUAGUGACAUUUCAAGUCUAGAAUCAUUCUUUCAUAAGAACCAUGCUCAGCAACUUUC
Molecule: long non-coding RNA, 920 nt
Filed under: Lonchura striata (white-rumped munia)
Lineage: Eukaryota; Metazoa; Chordata; Aves; Passeriformes; Estrildidae
Description: domestica (Bengalese finch) lncRNA (ENSLSDG00000007682.1)
Source: RNAcentral